CUCGUAGGUGGCCAACUAAGUCAGACGUGAAAUCCCCAGGCUUAACCUGGGAACUGCGUCUGAUACUGGAUGGCUUGAAUUCGGGAGAGGGAUGCAGAAUUCCAGGUGUAGCGGUGAAAUGCGUAGAUAUCUGGAGGAAUACCGGUGGCGAAGGCGGCAUCCUGGACCGAGAUUGACACUGAUGAGCGAAAGCCAGGGGAGCAAACGG
This 208-nucleotide ribosomal RNA is filed under the name uncultured bacterium. Its description in RNAcentral is "partial 16S ribosomal RNA". It matches the Rfam family "Bacterial small subunit ribosomal RNA", at positions 568 to 775 of the family's 1533-position model. The record is from RNAcentral.